UGUCACACGAUUGUGGCGUCAUCAUAUGCGACUUUCUGAUCACAGACAUGCCUUCUUCUGCAGGUGAAUACUCCGUAAAGUGUUAUUUAGCUACAUUUAUUUAGCCAAAUUAUCAUCCAAAACAAGUGCAUGUAGAUAUUGGGUCUCCUGACUCCUUAUCAAAAUAAUAAAACUGGCAUGCUGGUUGUUUGUUUAUAGGCAAUGUCAAUUAAAGUCUCUAGCUAGCUAAUUAUUUUGAACCUCAUUUCUUAAAGUAUCCCUGACUUCACUUGACAGUUUUUUUUGUUUAACACAGACAUGAGACAUCACAUCUGACAGUGUACAGUAGUAGUAUAUUGUUACUAUGAGCUCCCUCCUGAUAUUAAAAACAAGAAUAUGUCUGAAAUACAUUAGCCCACUCUUUAAUCCAAGCACUGCUGGCUUUACUCCCCUGAAUAAUGUGAUUAGCAAGCUAUCAGUUAGUUCCAGGCUUUUAUGCACUAAAGGAGGGAGUAGACAUGCAGGUAACAACAGGAAAGAGGACAGACAGAGAGAAUUCAAUAUCAGAGAGAGGCUCCCUUUUCCCAAGUCAGUGUUUGCUUCUGGGACAGCCAAGAGAACUGCUGAAUACCAAAAGAAGAGGGCUGAGGAGGAACCAGACUUCCCCAGAAAGAACAAGAGAGUGAAACCCCCAGACCACCCUCUCACUGCCUCAGAAUGGAAGAGCCUAAAAUUGACUUCACCGAAUCCUGAUCGCUUUGACGUCCGGAUGAUGUCAUCAAUGCUGGCCGAUGGGACAGACAUCAACGUGGCCAAGUCCCUGCUGGCCUAUGUUGCCAUGGAUACCGGUACGCUGUCUUACGAGCUGCUACUGCGGUACCUCACCCUGUGUGUCGGCAGCGGCCAUCACUCUGAGGUGUUUGACAUGUAUGAUAUCAUGAGAAGCCGGUUCAGGACAUUAGACACUGGAGCCUCCAGCCUGUUCAUAAAGGGCUUCAGCAGGACAGAACGCUGGAAGGAGGCGCUGACCAUCCUGGAGAACAUCAAGAGGGCCAUCACGCCAUCACCGCGUAACUACGGCGAUACCAUCGCUGGGGCGGUGCUGCAUGGUGAUGGUGACACUGCCUGGGCCCUGUAUGCUGAGCUGAUGGAGAAGGGCCUCAUUCCCAACCAGGAGACAUGGCAGGCCCUGUUCCAGUGUGGUCUCUCUCAUCAGGGCCACGAGGACGGGCUGCAAUCCAUCCUGCUCCAUAUGAGGGACAACCAAAUCUAUCCCGAGGAGACUCUGGCUAAAGAUAUCAAAGCUUGGUUUGAGAGUCUUCCAGAACAGAAGUGGAUUGGAAGCUGGUCCACCGUAGACCCCAGGGGAGUGUGUCGGAGCUGCCAGGCAGAGCUGGAGUCUAUCCAGCUGAGUCGGGAGGAGUACGCCCAGCUCAAAGACAGGGUGAUGGGGGACGUGAUCCAAGGCAGAGACGUCUUCAAUAAGACCACUCCAGAGGAGCUGGAGAGCUUCAAGAACUUUGUCAAGCGGAAGCCGGCCUUUGACGUGGUCAUAGAUGGACUCAAUGUGGCCAACAUUGGCAUCAAAGGGAACCAGUCGCAGACGCUCCUGGAGGUGGUGUCGGAGCUUGAGCGCCAGGGCCUGGUCAUCCUGGUCCUGGGGAGGAAGCAUAUGCAGCGGCCCUCACGUAGCUGGGACAGACAUGACAUGAGCUUGGUCCAGCAGAAGGCCCACUGCUUCUUCACUGACAACAUUUCUGAGGAUGACCCUUUCCUGCUCUAUGCCACACUGCACUCUGGGAACCACUGCAACUUUGUUAGCCGGGACCUGAUGAGGGACCACAAGGCCUGCCUGCCAGACGGUGCCACCCGACGCCUCUUCUUCAAGUGGCAGAGAGGCCACCAGCUGGUGCUGAGCAGCUACACCCCGGGAAAGAGAGUACGAUUCCAGAGGAUAUUAAGUUAUGACACCAUUGUCCAGACAAAUGGAGGCUCCUGGCACAUCCCCUAUGAUGAGAAUGGGGCAGAGAGAUGCACUUAUGAAGUUCCACAGAAGUGGCUGUGUCUCACCAAGGCAAAAUAAGGACCCACUUAGAACUGGUUGAUCUUCACAAACCUGUCAAUACAGUGUUCGUCAAUGAAACUAUAGCAUGUGAAAAAGAAUAAAGGACUGAAAAAAAGUUUUGUACUUUUCUUGUAGUCCUAGAAUAUUUUUUUUCAAAAUGCAUUCAGUAAACCAAGAGGUGUCUUAAAACAACGUUUGUUGGAUUGACCCGGACAUCAACUACUGUUCCUUAACCAAUUCCGGGGUCAUUAUCUUUCAUGGUUUUUUUUCCUCAGCCAGUUAUUUUUUCAGUUUACAACUUUUAUACAAAUGUACUUGUUUGCCAACACAAUGUCCCAAGGGUCGAGUGCAGGAUUUGACCGAUAUAUUACCAUCUUCUCUCCGGAGAGCAGACUAACAAAGUCGAAUAUGCAUUCAAGGCUAUCAACCAAGGUGGCCUUACCAUAGUAGCUAUCAGAGGGCAAGACUGUGCAGUUGUCAUCACACAGAAUUCCAGACAAGCUUGUUGAUGCCAUCCACAGUCACACACUUAUUCAGAAUCACAGAAAACAUUGGCUGUGUCAUUUUGGAAUGACGGCUGACAGCAAGUCCCAAGUCCAGAGGGCUCGUUACGAGGCAGCCAACUGCAAGUACAAGUACGGUUAUGAGAUCCCAGUGGAUAUGCUGUGUAAGAGGAUGGGUUACAUCUCUCAGGUGUACACACAGAACGCUGAGAUGAGACCUCUUGGUUUCUGCUCAUCCUGACAUUACCCUCCAGCAUGACAAUGCUACCAACCAUACUGAUCAUUCUGUGCUUGAUUUUCUGCAAGACAGUCUGUGUUCUGCCAUGGCCAGCGCAGAGGCCGGAUCUCAAUCUCAUUGAACACGUCUUUGACCUGUUGGAUCGGAGGGUGAGGGCUAGGGCCAUUCCCCCCCAGAACUUGCAGGUGCCUUGGUAGGAGAGUGGGGUAACAUCUCACAGCAAGAACUGGCAAAUCUGGUGCAGUCCAUGAGGAGGAGAUGCACUGCAGUACUUAAUGCAGCUGGUGGCCACAGACUGUUACUUUUGAUUUUGACCCCCUCCCUUUGUUCAGUGACAUAUUAUUAAAUUGCUGUUAGUCACAUGUGGAACUUGUUCAGUUUGUGUCUGUUGUUGAAUCUUAUGUUCAUACACAUAUUUACACAUGUUCAGUUUGCUGUAAAUAAACAUAGUUGACAGUGA
Molecule: non-coding RNA, 3245 nt
Organism: Oncorhynchus mykiss (rainbow trout)
Lineage: Eukaryota; Metazoa; Chordata; Actinopteri; Salmoniformes; Salmonidae
Source: RefSeq, a predicted model, not a curated record